CCUACGGGGGGCAGCAGUGGGGAAUAUUGGGCAAUGGGCGCAAGCCUGACCCAGCAACGCCGCGUGAAGGCAGAAGGCUUUCGGGUUGUAAACUUCUUUUCUCAGGGACGAAGCAAGUGACGGUACCUGAGGAAUAAGCCACGGCUAACGACGUGCCAGCAGCCGCGGGAAUACGUAGGUGGCAAGCGUUAUCCGGAUUUACUGGGUGUAAAGGGCGUGUAGGCGGGAAAGCAAGUCAGAUGUGAAAACCAUGGGCUCAACCUGUUGCCUGCAUUUGAAACUGGUUUUCGUGAGUACUGGAGAGGCAGACGGAAUGCCUGGUGUAGCGGUGAAAUGCGUAGAUAUUAGGAGGAACACCAGUGGCGAAGGCGGUCUGCUGGACAGCAACUGACGCUGAGGCGCGAAAGCGUGGGGAGCAAACAGGAUUAGAUACCCCUGUAGUC
RNAcentral lists this ribosomal RNA (443 nucleotides) under uncultured bacterium. RNAcentral describes it as "partial 16S ribosomal RNA". It matches the Rfam family "Bacterial small subunit ribosomal RNA", at positions 338 to 795 of the family's 1533-position model. The record is from RNAcentral.